This 506-nucleotide ribosomal RNA is filed under the name uncultured bacterium. Its description in RNAcentral is "partial 16S ribosomal RNA". It matches the Rfam family "Bacterial small subunit ribosomal RNA", at positions 28 to 523 of the family's 1533-position model. The record is from RNAcentral.
GAUGAACGCUAGCGGCAGGCUUAAUACAUGCAAGUCGUGGGGCAGCAGGUCUGUAGCAAUACAGAUGCUGGCGACCGGCAAACGGGUGCGGAACACGUACACAACUUUCCUUUAAGUGGGGAAUAGCCCAGAGAAAUUUGGAUUAAUACCCCGUAACAUAGUGAAAAGGCAUCUUUUUAUUAUUAUAGCAGCAAUGCGCUUAAUGAUGGGUGUGCGUCUGAUUAGGUAGUUGGCGGAGUAAUAGCCCACCAAGCCUACGAUCAGUAACUGGUGGGAGAGCACGACCAGUCCCACGGGCACUGAGACACGGGCCCGACUCCUACGGGAGGCAGCAGUAAGGAAUAUUGGGCAAUGGACGCAAGUCUGACCCAGCCAUGCCGCGUGGAGGAUGAAGGUCCUCUGGAUUGUAAACUUCUUUUAUCUGGGAAGAAAUCCAUCUUUUCUUGGGUGGUUGACGGUACCAGAUGAAUAAGCACCGGCUAACUCCGUGCCAGCCGCCGCGGUAA